Molecule: ribosomal RNA, 548 nt
Filed under: uncultured bacterium
Lineage: Bacteria
Description: bacterial SSU rRNA
Rfam family: Bacterial small subunit ribosomal RNA
Source: RNAcentral
GGGGAAUUUUGGACAAUGGGGGCAACCCUGAUCCAGCCAUGCCGCGUGUAUGAAGAAGGCCUUAGGGUUGUAAAGUACUUUUGUUAGGGAAGAAAAGUCAGCUGUGAAUAAUGGCUGAUACUGACGGUACCUAAAGAAUAAGCACCGGCUAACUACGUGCCAGCAGCCGCGGUAAUACGUAGGGUGCGAGCGUUAAUCGGAAUUAUUGGGCGUAAAGCGAGUGUAGACGGUUAUUUAAGCCAGAUGUGAAAUACCCGAGCCUAACUUGGGAGGUGCAUAUGGAACUGGGUAGCUAGAGUGUGUCAGAGGGAGGUAGAACUCCACGUGUAGCAGUGAAAUGCGUAGAGAUGUGGAAGAAUACCGAUGGCGAAGGCAGCCUCCUGGGAUAACACUGACGUUGAGGCUCGAAAGCGUGGGGGGCAAACAGGAUUAGAUACCCUGGUAGUCCACGCCCUAAACGAUGACAAUUAGCUGUUGGCCCCAUUAAGGGGUGAGUAGCGAAGCUAACGCGUGAAAUUGUCCGCCUGGGGAGUACGGUCGCAAGAUUA